GAUGAACGCUGGCGGCGUGCCUAAUACAUGCAAGUCGAACGCAUAGCGAAAGGUGCUUGCACCUUUCAAGUGAGUGGCGAACGGGUGAGUAACACGUGGACAACCUGCCUCAAGGCUGGGGAUAACAUUUGGAAACAGAUGCUAAUACCGAAUAAAACUUAGUGUCGCAUGACACAAAGUUAAAAGGCGCUUCGGCGUCACCUAGAGAUGGAUCCGCGGUGCAUUAGUUAGUUGGUGGGGUAAAGGCCUACCAAGACAAUGAUGCAUAGCCGAGUUGAGAGACUGAUCGGCCACAUUGGGACUGAGACACGGCCCAAACUCCUACGGGAGGCUGCAGUAGGGAAUCUUCCACAAUGGGCGAAAGCCUGAUGGAGCAACGCCGCGUGUGUGAUGAAGGCUUUCGGGUCGUAAAGCACUGUUGUAUGGGAAGAACAGCUAGAAUAGGAAAUGAUUUUAGUUUGACGGUACCAUACCAGAAAGGGACAGCUAAAUACGUG
This 497-nucleotide ribosomal RNA is filed under the name uncultured bacterium. RNAcentral describes it as "partial 16S ribosomal RNA". It matches the Rfam family "Bacterial small subunit ribosomal RNA", at positions 28 to 507 of the family's 1533-position model. The record is from RNAcentral.